GGUGUGGGUGAUGAGAACACGUCCUUAGGUUGGUCCAUUUUGGCCGUUUUGGUCAAAAGUUUUGGGCCUUCCCAUGUUAGGAUUCGUCAUAGUUACACUGACACACG
Molecule: small nucleolar RNA, 107 nt
Organism: Sardina pilchardus (European sardine)
Lineage: Eukaryota; Metazoa; Chordata; Actinopteri; Clupeiformes; Clupeidae
Product: small nucleolar RNA SNORD46
Exons: 1
Source: RefSeq, a predicted model, not a curated record